Molecule: ribosomal RNA, 253 nt
Filed under: uncultured bacterium
Lineage: Bacteria
Description: partial 16S ribosomal RNA
Rfam family: Bacterial small subunit ribosomal RNA
Source: RNAcentral
GACGAACCGUGCGAACGUUGUUCGGAAUCACUGGGCUUAAAGGGCGCGUAGGCGGGCGCACAAGUCAGGGGUGAAAUCCCACGGCUCAACCGUGGAAGGGCCUUUGAUACUGUGUGUCUGGAGGGAGGUAGGGGCGUGCGGAACUUCCGGUGGAGCGGUGAAAUGCGUAGAUAUCGGAAGGAACACCGGUGGCGAAAGCGGCGCGCUGGACCUCUUCUGACGCUGAGGCGCGAAAGCCAGGGGAGCAAACGGG